This 169-nucleotide ribosomal RNA is filed under the name uncultured bacterium. RNAcentral's name for it is "partial 16S ribosomal RNA". It matches the Rfam family "Bacterial small subunit ribosomal RNA", at positions 338 to 524 of the family's 1533-position model. The record is from RNAcentral.
CCUACGGGAGGCAGCAGCAAGGGAUUUUCCGCAAUGGGCGCAAGCCUGGCGGAGCAACGCCGCGUGGAGGAUGACGGCUUUCGGGUUGUAAACUCCUUUUGGGUGGGACGAUUGUGACGGUACCACCCCAACAAGCCCCGGCUAACUACGUGCCAGCAGCCGCGGUAAU